Molecule: transfer RNA, 75 nt
Filed under: Fibrobacterota bacterium
Lineage: Bacteria; Pseudomonadati; Fibrobacterota
Also listed under: 1 other name
Description: tRNA-Gln
Rfam family: tRNA
About the family: Transfer RNA (tRNA) molecules are approximately 80 nucleotides in length. Their secondary structure includes four short double-helical elements and three loops (D, anti-codon, and T loops). Further hydrogen bonds mediate the characteristic L-shaped molecular structure. tRNAs have two regions of fundamental functional importance: the anti-codon, which is responsible for specific mRNA codon recognition, and the 3' end, to which the tRNAs corresponding amino acid is attached (by aminoacyl-tRNA synthetases). tRNAs cope with the degeneracy of the genetic code in two manners: having more than one tRNA (with a specific anti-codon) for a particular amino acid; and 'wobble' base-pairing, i.e. permitting non-standard base-pairing at the 3rd anti-codon position.
Source: RNAcentral
UGGGGCGUCGUCAAGUGGUAAGACAACGGCCUUUGGAGCCGUUUACCGUAGGUUCGAAUCCUACCGCCCCAACCA